Molecule: long non-coding RNA, 1545 nt
Filed under: Eucalyptus grandis
Lineage: Eukaryota; Viridiplantae; Streptophyta; Magnoliopsida; Myrtales; Myrtaceae
Description: long non-coding RNA (EGRA_LNC000612)
Source: RNAcentral
AAAAGAACAACAAAAGGCUAUUUAUUAUUGGUAGGCGUACUACUAUGCUCUGAACUUCUUCUUUUUUGCGACAUGCUCUCAAAGAUUAAUCUGUAUCAGGAUGUCAAUUAUUGAGGUCUAUAUUCAUAGUCAAACGAAGAAGCUUCCUUACUUCCAACAACGGCAGCUUCUGUAAGGAUGCAAAAAAUAGGAUUUAAAACGGGUGUAUUCGAGUUGGCAAAUGUGACAAUUAAAUUUGAAUGAACCCUGCAGAUUAUAAGCCAUUCAAAUAUGACUUCCUUGUCAUAGUUCAUGGUUCAUCUUUCUAUUCAAAUUCCCACACUAUCUCAGAGCACAUUUUCUUUCUUUGUUGUCAAGGAAAGGCGGGAAGGAGCAAUAAGGAAGAGUAUGAUCUGUCCGAAUUCUGGAGAUAUCUCUAUGCGAGAUUCUGAAAGAUUGAUUCUCAAAACUGACCGGCGACUAUUGGCCCCUCAUCCAAGAGAUCCCUCUCAUCUACAUUGGUGGUGUUCGUAUCCAAUAAUUGAAAUUGAUCACACCCAAGCCAUGACAAAAGAUUUAUCUCCACUGACUACUUUUCCUUCUUUAGGUAAUUGUUAUCUAUUCUUUUGCUUCCAUUUACCAUCUGCUGCAAUUCACUGUUCCACCUAAAGUCAGCUUUCUAGGGUUGGGGUCAGUUUUUGGGUUUGAAGGCAUCAAUUUCUAUUAUGUUCUUAUGUUCAAUGCUUAACACGAAUUGAUUUCUUUCCAGGGAGGUGUUUUUCAAAGAAUUUCCUGAAACCAGCCAACAAAGGUCAGAGACUGACAUUCGAGUGUGUCGUGUGUGUCCUUGAUGGGGUUUUUUCUUUUUAGGCCAACUAAAAUUUGGAGCUGUAAAAUGAUCUUUAGCUUCUUGAAUCCCAACAGGAGCAUCCUUUAGUCUUGAAUUGCGCUGCUUGGAAAAAUUGAUGAUAUCCUUGUAUACCACGGCUACAUUCAGCUCCUCUAAUACCUUGGUUUAGCAUUUUCUUUAGCUACUGCAAUGCUCUUUGAACAGCAAGUAAUUCAGCCUUCUUUGCAGAUCUAGGCAUCACCACACCCCUGCAAGCAAUCAUCUCCUGCCUUUCAUUUUUGGCCAUAAUCUUGACAACAGCAUGUCUGGUUCCUUCAAUGUAAGACCCAUAAUAGUUAAUCUUCGCAAAACCUAGCUCAGGUUUACUCUACACACCCUGCCUUUCGUCCACCCAAUUAUGACCCAGCUCUCUUACAUUUUUACAGGAUACACAAUCUUAAAGAGCUUUUUUUAAUCUGUAUAAAUGACAUUUUCAGGAUCAGGUGAAUUGUUGUUAAAGAUUACUGCAUAUUAAGCAUUCCAGAUAUACCAGCAGGUGUAGCCAAUCAUUCUUAAGCAUUAUGAGCCCAUAUCAAGUCAUUUGAUCUCCUGACUCACAUUUGUAGAAUAUCAGCCAGUACCAAUAUGUCACCAUUACCAGUAAUUAGUGGUCUCUUAUACUUGUCAGUUAACAUCAUCAUAAGAGUUUUCUAGCAAAUCAUCAACAUGGUAUCCCG